Molecule: ribosomal RNA, 492 nt
Filed under: uncultured bacterium
Lineage: Bacteria
Description: partial 16S ribosomal RNA
Rfam family: Bacterial small subunit ribosomal RNA
Source: RNAcentral
AGUGAACGCUGGCGGUAGGCCUAACACAUGCAAGUCGAACGGCAGCACAGUAAUAGCUUGCUCUUACGGGUGGCGAGUGGCGGACGGGUGAGGAAUACAUCGGAAUCUACUUUUUCGUGGGGGAUAACGUAGGGAAACUUACUCUAAUACCGCAUACGACCUACGGGUGAAAGCAGGGGAUCUUCGGACCUUGCGCGAUUGAAUGAGCCGAUGUCGGAUUAGCUAGUUGGCGGGGUAAAGGCCCACCAAGGCGACGACCCGUAGCUGGUCUGAGAGGAUGAUCAGCCACACUGGAACUGAGACACGGUCCAGACUCCUACGGGAGGCAGCAGUGGGGAAUAUUGGACAAUGGGCGCAAGCCUGAUCCAGCCAUACCGCGUGGGUGAAGAAGGCCUUCGGGUUGUAAAGCCCUUUUGUUGGGAAAGAAAAGCAGCAGGUUAAUACCCCGCUGUUCUGACGGUACCCAAAGAAUAAGCACCGGCUAACUUCGUG